GAUGAACGCUGGCGGCGUGCCUAAUGCAUGCAAGUCGAGCGAACGGACGAGAAGCUCGCUUCUCUGAUGUUAGCGGCGGACGGGUGAGUAACACGUGGAUAACCUACCUAUAAGACUGGGAUAACUUCGGGAAACCGUAGCUAAUACCGGAUAAUAUUUUGAACCGCAUGGUUCAAAAGUGAAAGACGGUCUUGCUGUCACUUAUAGAUGGAUCCGCGCUGCAUUAGCUAGUUGGUAAGGUAACGGCUUACCAAGGCAACGAUGCAUAGCCGACCUGAGAGGGUGAUCGGCCACACUGGAACUGAGACACGGUCCAGACUCCUACGGGAGGCAGCAGUAGGGAAUCUUCCGCAAUGGGCGAAAGCCUGACGGAGCAACGCCGCGUGAGUGAUGAAGGUCUUCGGAUCGUAAAACUCUGUUAUUAGGGAAGAACAUAUGUGUAAGUAACUGUGCACAUCUUGACGGUACCUAAUCAGAAAGCCACGGCUAACUACGUG
Molecule: ribosomal RNA, 497 nt
Filed under: uncultured bacterium
Lineage: Bacteria
Description: partial 16S ribosomal RNA
Rfam family: Bacterial small subunit ribosomal RNA
Source: RNAcentral